This 1086-nucleotide long non-coding RNA is filed under the name Manihot esculenta (cassava). RNAcentral's name for it is "long non-coding RNA (MESC_LNC000551)". Lineage: Eukaryota; Viridiplantae; Streptophyta; Magnoliopsida; Malpighiales; Euphorbiaceae. The record is from RNAcentral.
AUGUCUCCAAGUUAUUUACUGAGCCCUAGUCUUCGCCUUUCACCCAUUACAGAUGCUCAGUUCUCACCAUAUGUAGGUGGAAUGGCUUUCUCUCCUACUUCAUCUCCAGGCUAUAGCCCAUCAUCCCCUGGUUACAGUCCAUCAUCCCCUGGUUACAGUCCUACGUCUCCUGGAUACAGCCCUACCUCACCUGGUUAUAGCCCCACCUCACCUGGAUACAGCCCAACUUCGCCAACUUAUAGCCCUAGUUCUCCUGGCUAUAGCCCUACCAGUCCUGCCUAUUCUCCUACAAGUCCAUCGUAUUCCCCAACUUCCCCUAGUUACAGCCCAACUUCUCCCAGCUAUAGCCCAACAUCUCCAAGUUAUAGUCCAACCUCUCCAAGCUAUAGCCCCACAUCUCCCAGUUACAGCCCAACUUCACCAAGCUAUAGCCCUACAUCUCCAGUAUAUAGUCCCACUUCACCUGCAUAUAGUCCCACUUCGCCUGCAUACAGUCCUACCUCACCAUCAUACAGCCCAACUUCUCCUUCCUAUAGCCCAACGUCACCUUCCUAUAGCCCAACCUCGCCUUCUUACAGCCCCACAUCUCCAUCAUACAGUCCAACUUCACCUGCUUAUAGCCCGACAUCCCCUGGUUACAGUCCAACCUCACCAAGCUAUAGCCCAACAUCGCCAAGCUAUAGCCCGACCUCACCCAGUUACAAUCCUCAGUCAGCUAAAUACAGUCCGUCACUGGCAUACUCACCUAGCAGUCCAAGAUUGUCACCGUCGAGUCCUUACAGCCCCACGUCUCCAAAUUAUAGGUAGGCUGAAAUCUUCCAGUAGUCAGUUCCUUGCUUUUGUGAUUUAUUCAAGUACUGUGACUUUUUCCAGUUUCAUUCAUAGCGAACUAGUAUCUCUUACCUUUUUAUUCUUUUAUCUUAUGUUGCAGCCCAACCUCACCAUCAUAUUCACCGACUUCUCCAUCAUAUUCCCCUUCAAGCCCAACAUAUAGUCCUAGCAGGUGACUCUUAUAGGCAGCUAUUUUGUCUGCUCCUACUACUUUUUCUGUUUACUGGUUUGUUAGUCAUACCUUAACCUUUACUC